CCUACGGGAGGCAGCAGUAGGGAAUCUUCCACAAUGGGCGAAAGCCUGAUGGAGCAACGCCGCGUGGGUGAAGAAGGUCUUCGGAUCGUAAAACCCUGUUGUUAGAGAAGAAAGUGCGUGAGAGUAACUGUUCACGUUUCGACGGUAUCUAACCAGAAAGCCACGGCUAACUACGUGCCAGCAGCCGCGUUAAUACGUAGGUGGCAAGCGUUAUCCGGAUUUAUUGGGCUGAAAGGGAACGCAGGCGGUCUUUUAAGUCUGAUGUGAAAGCCGUCGGCUUAACCGGAGUAGUGCAUUGGAAACUGGGAGACGUGAGUGCAGAAGAGGAGAGUGGAACUCCAUGUGUAGCGGUGAAAUGCGUAGAUAUAUGGAAGAACACCAGUGGCGAAAGCGGCUCUCUGGUCUGUAACUGACGCUGAGGUUCGAAAGCGUGGGUAGCAAACAGGAUUAGAUACCCCUGUAGUC
This 465-nucleotide ribosomal RNA is filed under the name uncultured bacterium. Its description in RNAcentral is "partial 16S ribosomal RNA". It matches the Rfam family "Bacterial small subunit ribosomal RNA", at positions 338 to 795 of the family's 1533-position model. The record is from RNAcentral.